RNAcentral lists this transfer RNA (69 nucleotides) under Achromobacter sp. MYb9. Its description in RNAcentral is "tRNA-Arg". It matches the Rfam family "tRNA". From Rfam's summary of the family: Transfer RNA (tRNA) molecules are approximately 80 nucleotides in length. Their secondary structure includes four short double-helical elements and three loops (D, anti-codon, and T loops). Lineage: Bacteria; Pseudomonadati; Pseudomonadota; Betaproteobacteria; Burkholderiales; Alcaligenaceae. The record is from RNAcentral.
GCGUUAGUAGCAUUUCACACGGGCCUUCUAAGCCCGGGGUCGGGGGUUCGAGCCCCUCCUGCCGCGCCA